RNAcentral lists this unclassified non-coding RNA (582 nucleotides) under Homo sapiens (human). RNAcentral describes it as "WD repeat domain 73 (ENSG00000291629.1)". Lineage: Eukaryota; Metazoa; Chordata; Mammalia; Primates; Hominidae. The record is from RNAcentral.
GUCGUUGCCAUGGAUCCUGGGGACGACUGGCUGGUGGAAUCCUUGCGCUUGUAAAUCGUACCAGGAUUUCUAUGCAUUCGACCUGUCAGGAGCCACUCGAGUCCUUGAAUGGAUUGAUGACAAAGGAGUCUUUGUUGCUGGCUAUGAAAGCCUGAAAAAGAAUGAAAUUCUUCAUCUGAAAUUACCUCUCAGACUUUCUGUAAAGGAAAACAAGGGCUUAUUCCCAGAAAGAGAUUUCAAAGUGCGCCAUGGAGGAUUUUCAGACAGGUCUAUCUUUGAUCUAAAGCAUGUGCCACAUACCAGAUUGCUGGUUACCAGUGGCCUUCCAGGUUGUUAUCUGCAGGUGUGGCAGGUUGCAGAGGACAGUGAUGUCAUUAAAGCUGUCAGCACCAUUGCUGUGCAUGAGAAAGAGGAGAGUCUCUGGCCUAGGGUGGCCGUCUUCUCCACAUUGGCACCCGGAGUCCUCCAUGGGGCGAGGCUCCGAAGUCUGCAGGUCGUUGAUCUGGAGUCCCGGAAGACCACGUACACCUCAGGUGUUGGGGAUACACAGUGAAUAAGAGGUAAGCCCUGGCCUCUAAGGGC